Molecule: ribosomal RNA, 585 nt
Filed under: uncultured bacterium
Lineage: Bacteria
Description: partial 16S ribosomal RNA
Rfam family: Bacterial small subunit ribosomal RNA
Source: RNAcentral
UGGGGAAUUUUGGACAAUGGGCGCAAGCCUGAUCCAGCCAUGCCGCGUGCGGGAAGAAGGCCUUCGGGUUGUAAACCGCUUUUGUCAGGGAAGAAAUCUUCUGAGUUAAUACCUCGGGAGGAUGACGGUACCUGAAGAAUAAGCACCGGCUAACUACGUGCCAGCAGCCGCGGUAAUACGUAGGGUGCAAGCGUUAAUCGGAAUUACUGGGCGUAAAGCGUGCGCAGGCGGUUUUGUAAGACAGAGGUGAAAUCCCCGGGCUCAACCUGGGAACUGCCUUUGUGACUGCAAGGCUUGAGUGCGGCAGAGGGGGAUGGAAUUCCGCGUGUAGCAGUGAAAUGCGUAGAUAUGCGGAGGAACACCGAUGGCGAAGGCAAUCCCCUGGGCCUGCACUGACGCUCAUGCACGAAAGCGUGGGGAGCAAACAGGAUUAGAUACCCUGGUAGUCCACGCCCUAAACGAUGUCAACUGGUUGUUGGGAAGGUUCCUUCUCAAUAACGUAGCUAACGCGUGAAGUUGACCGCCUGGGGAGUACGGCCGCAAGGUUGAAACUCAAAUGAAUUGACGGGGUCAUAGCUGUUUCCU